Molecule: small nuclear RNA, 114 nt
Organism: Oryctolagus cuniculus (rabbit)
Lineage: Eukaryota; Metazoa; Chordata; Mammalia; Lagomorpha; Leporidae
Gene: U2
Rfam family: U2 spliceosomal RNA
About the family: U2 is a small nuclear RNA (snRNA) component of the spliceosome (involved in pre-mRNA splicing). Complementary binding between U2 snRNA (in an area lying towards the 5' end but 3' to hairpin I) and the branchpoint sequence (BPS) of the intron results the bulging out of an unpaired adenosine, on the BPS, which initiates a nucleophilic attack at the intronic 5' splice site, thus starting the first of two transesterification reactions that mediate splicing.
Source: Ensembl
AUUGCUUCUCAGCCUUUUGGCUAAGAUCAAGUGUAGUAUCUGUUCUUAUCAGUUUAAAAUAGCUGUGUAACAGGUUCUAGGCAUUGUGUCAAUACGUACCAAGACAGACUCUAC